This 1526-nucleotide long non-coding RNA is filed under the name Oncorhynchus kisutch (coho salmon). RNAcentral's name for it is "lncRNA (ENSOKIG00005041129.1)". Lineage: Eukaryota; Metazoa; Chordata; Actinopteri; Salmoniformes; Salmonidae. The record is from RNAcentral.
CUCAAAUCCCGUUCACAUGCUGAGGUUUCCAGCGAAGUUUAGAGGGUGCGCCCAUUCCAAACUAGGCUCACUCUGGUCCUGAUGCUGAGCCAUUGGUACCUACCUAUUUGAUAUUCACAUCGCGGUUUCCAUGCGCUGCUUUCAAACCGUUCUUCACAUCUGGCUUAGUUUGCGCAUGUCAAUGGAGUUUUACUGGAUGCGACCAGAGGGGGAGCUGUUGAUCAGGAUAUAGGGAGCCACUGUCUGGCAGGGGGACUGAUGCAGGCAGUUGAACUUCUAUCAGUUUCUAAACCAUACAGUCUUUGGUUCCAUUCUCGUAUGGAUGUGAGUAUUCCAGUCUAAGGUUCUUCAAGAUGCUGUACCUUACCUACCAGGCCUGUGAAAGAAUCCAGCUCUCCACCCCUUGAGACCUCUGUGAAACAAAAGUAGGCCUAGAGGAGGACGGCACUAUCACUGGAGAUAGAGGGAUAACACUAUCCCCAGCCAGGCAGACGAGUGCACAUUACAAGACGAGUGCAGAGGGAUCUGUCACGCCUUCAGCCAGCAUGCAUAAAUACUGUGGAUUUGUUGAGAACACUCAUGAGUCCAACAAAGAUGAAGAGGUAGAAGAAGACGAUGGAGGAAGAAGAAGGAGAAAUGGGAACUAUAGCUCCAGGAGGUGGGACAGUGGUGGACGGAGCGGGCCAGGUUACAGGAUCCAACCCUGGGGACCUCCAUGGAGGAAGGAGUGUGGCUCAUCAAGAAGAGGAGGAAGCAACGUCAUAAACAGAAGCUCUUGUCUCUGGGUCUGGUGCCGCGUGCUGCGGCUCGAGGGGGGGAGGAAGAGAAGAGCAGCUGAAGUGAUAAUCUUCCUCAGGACCACACAAGAUCUAUGUGUCUGAUUGUGAGUGUGACAUACCAGGGCUGCUAAUCAACCCAGAUACGGUCACAUAUAGCCUAGGCUGUGCUUCAGUCUUCCUAAGAGCUGGCCAAAAGUGCUGAAGCAUAGUUCAUUUUAUCACUUUCGGGAUUGGCAGAAAAUAAAUAAUUUGAACAGCACUGUGCAGAGCACACGCACAUUGAAAGUGAAAGCACAGCUCAUUAAUAACUAGCCUAUAACAACUUGAGGACCUUGAGAGAUUUAAGAAUCGAGGUGUAGAGGUGCAUUGAGGUGUUUGGGUUUACUUCAUCAUUCUCAAAUGUAAUGGACAGGCUCAGUCAUCUGGUCUGUCAUAAUCCCUCCAUGACUUGCCUCUGGAGGGCUAGACAGACCGACAGUCAGUCAGUCCAAAGAAUCCCAUUGGUUCCAGGGAUUAAGGUUUCUCUGUUGGUGAAUUACUGUGGAAGGCUAAGAAGGAAGACCUCUGGAAAUGUCCACAGUAGUUCAGUUAAAGGGGCCAGAUGCUCCUGUUCCUUAAAAGGCACCUCAGUCUAGAGAAAGACCAGGUGAUUAGACACAGGCCCAUUCAGCAACGGAGUUUAUAAUGGUUGGUGGAGUAAUAGUAUACUCACUCCACUACCAAGCAGGUUAAUCUGGUAGUGGAGGG